This 500-nucleotide ribosomal RNA is filed under the name uncultured bacterium. Its description in RNAcentral is "partial 16S ribosomal RNA". It matches the Rfam family "Bacterial small subunit ribosomal RNA", at positions 30 to 523 of the family's 1533-position model. The record is from RNAcentral.
AUUGAACGCUGGCGGCAUGCCUUACACAUGCAAGUCGAACGGCAGCACGGGAGCAAUCCUGGUGGCGAGUGGCGAACGGGUGAGUAAUAUAUCGGAACGUGCCCAGUCGUGGGGGAUAACGCAGCGAAAGCUGUGCUAAUACCGCAUACGAUCUAAGGAUGAAAGCGGGGGAUCGCAAGACCUUGCGCGAUUGGAGCGGCCGAUAUCAGAUUAGCUAGUUGGUGGGGUAAAGGCCCACCAAGGCGACGAUCUGUAGCUGGUCUGAGAGGACGACCAGCCACACUGGAACUGAGACACGGUCCAGACUCCUACGGGAGGCAGCAGUGGGGAAUUUUGGACAAUGGGCGCAAGCCUGAUCCAGCAAUGCCGCGUGCAGGAUGAAGACCUUCGGGUUGUAAACUGCUUUUGUACGGAACGAAACGGCCCUUUCUAAUACAGGGGGCUAAUGAUGGUACCGUAAGAAUAAGCACCGGCUAACUACGUGCCAGCCGCCGCCGUAA